Molecule: ribosomal RNA, 468 nt
Filed under: uncultured bacterium
Lineage: Bacteria
Description: partial 16S ribosomal RNA
Rfam family: Bacterial small subunit ribosomal RNA
Source: RNAcentral
GACGAACGCUGGCGGCGUGCUUAACACAUGCAAGUCGAACGGAAAGGCCCUGCUUUUGUGGGGUGCUCGAGUGGCGAACGGGUGAGUAACACGUGAGUAACCUGCCCUUGACUUUGGGAUAACUUCAGGAAACUGGGGCUAAUACCGGAUAGGAGCUCCUGCUGCAUGUUGGGGGUUGGAAAGUUUCGGCGGUUGGGGAUGGACUCGCGGCUUAUCAGCUUGUUGGUGGGGUAGUGGCUUACCAAGGCUUUGACGGGUAGCCCGCCUGGGAGGGUGACCGGCCACAUUGGGACUGAGAUACGGCCCAGACUCCUACGGGAGGCAGCAGUGGGGAAUAUUGCACAAUGGGCGGAAGCCUGAUACAGCAACGCCGCGUGCGGGAUGACGGCCUUCGGGUUGUAAACCGCUUUCGCCUGUGACGAAGCGUGAGUGACGGUAAUGGGUAAAGAAGCACCGGCUAACUACGUG